RNAcentral lists this ribosomal RNA (535 nucleotides) under uncultured archaeon. Its description in RNAcentral is "bacterial SSU rRNA". It matches the Rfam family "Bacterial small subunit ribosomal RNA", at positions 513 to 1050 of the family's 1533-position model. The record is from RNAcentral.
AGCCGCGGUAAUACGUAGGGGGCGAGCGUUAUCCGGAAUGAUUGGGCGUAAAGAGUGCGUAGGCGGUUUUGUAAGCGCCAGGGUGAAAGGCAAUAGCUCAACUAUUGUAAGCCCGGCGAACUGUGAGACUUGAGUGCAGGAGAGGGAAGCGGAAUUCCUAGUGUAGCGGUGAAAUGCGUAGAUAUUAGGAGGAACACCAGUGGCGAAGGCGGCUUCCUGGACUGUAACUGACGCUGAGGCACGAAAGCGUGGGUAGCGAACAGGAUUAGAUACCCUGGUAGUCCACGCCGUAAACGAUGAGCACUAGGUGUCGGGGUCGCAAGACUUCGGUGCCGCAGUUAACGCAUUAAGUGCUCCGCCUGGGGAGUACGCACGCAAGUGUGAAACUCAAAGGAAUUGACGGGGACCCGCACAAGCAGCGGAGCAUGUGGUUUAAUUCGAAGCAACGCGAAGAACCUUACCAAGGCUUGACAUCCCUCUGACAGACCCAUAACGGGGUUCUUCUUCGGACAGAGGAGACAGGUGGUGCAUGGCC